RNAcentral lists this unclassified non-coding RNA (389 nucleotides) under Hevea brasiliensis (rubber tree). The record is from RNAcentral. Lineage: Eukaryota; Viridiplantae; Streptophyta; Magnoliopsida; Malpighiales; Euphorbiaceae.
GCUUACAAGUGAGGAUUCGUACUGGGUUUUAAGAUGUCUAACACAAAAUAUAAGUGUUUACUAGAAACAUAGCUUUAUAGGGUUGUGCAAUUGGUCAAUUCGGUUUUAAAUCGAACUGCAACAGAAUUGUAGAUCCAACAGAUUCACAUGUGAUCUUUGUUUUAGUUGCCCAUAAUUAUAAUAUAAGGAAAAAAAUGGUUUUUUUGAAUUAUAUUUUGCAAUAAUUAGGAAGAGAAAAUUAAUACAAUUAGUCUAAAUAUUGGAAAUUAACAUAAUUAGAAAAAGAAAAUAAACCAAUUAACAUAAAUAUUGGAAAUUAACAUAAUUAGAAAAAGAAAAUAAACCAAUUAACAUAAGUAUAGGAAAUUAACAUAAUUGAAAGAAGGAAA